This 253-nucleotide ribosomal RNA is filed under the name uncultured bacterium. Its description in RNAcentral is "partial 16S ribosomal RNA". It matches the Rfam family "Bacterial small subunit ribosomal RNA", at positions 524 to 776 of the family's 1533-position model. The record is from RNAcentral.
UACAGAGGUGGCUAGCGUUGUUCGGAAUUACUGGGCGUAAAGGGCGCGUAGGCGGUGUGUCAAGUCAGGCGUGAAAGCCCCGGGCUCAACCUGGGAACCGCGCUUGAGACUGGCACGCUCGAGUUCGGGAGAGGAUGGUGGAAUUCCCAGUGUAGAGGUGAAAUUCGUAGAUAUUGGGAAGAACACCGAUGGCGAAGGCAGCCAUCUGGACCGACACUGACGCUGAGGCGCGAAAGCGUGGGGAGCAAACAGG